Molecule: long non-coding RNA, 592 nt
Organism: Gadus chalcogrammus (walleye pollock)
Lineage: Eukaryota; Metazoa; Chordata; Actinopteri; Gadiformes; Gadidae
Exons: 3
Source: RefSeq, a predicted model, not a curated record
CUGUUUUUUUGUUUGGUUUUCAACAUUUUGUAUUGUGUCCCCCAAUAGUAUCUUACUGUUGGGGGGACGUACUUCCUUUUAUUUUCGGGUUUGUCCCGUGUAUGGACAUUAUGGCGAGACAAAGCCUCGGCAAUGGUCUGGAAAAAAAGGCGGUUGAACAAGGGACAGGAGGGAGACGGGAUGGUGAAAGAAGGAAGAGACAAAAAGGAGUUGACUCUCAUCGUCGAAAUGGUUGGAGAGGAGAAGAUAUCGGCAAUGGAGCUGAUGAGAAAUAUUAAAGACAUGUGCGGAGCUGCUGGCGUGCCGUAGCGUCGGUGACAGGUCGUAUGAGAUCACAAGGAGUGUGCCUAGCGGGAAGGAAAAGGUGAUGGAUGGAUUUAAAAUUAGGGAAAGGGGUCCAGCUGGGGCAGGUGACACUUUUGGUGGAAGGAGCGUGGACAGUGGUCACACAUCACCAGGUCACCCCAUCUCCCACACACAAAGCAAUAUUCAUCGCUCUUCUGUUCCUUCUGCACACACACACAGUGACAGAGGGACUCACCAGGGCUUGAGGGUCUGGAUGGCACAGUGAACAGUCACACUGCUCAGAGUG